GAUGAACGCUAGCGGCAGGCCUAAUACAUGCAAGUCGAGGGGUAAAUAUGUAGCAAUAUAUAUGAGACCGGCGCACGGGUGCGUAACACGUAUGCAACCUACCUUUUACUGGGGAAUAGCUCAGAGAAAUCUGAAUUAAUACCCCAUAAUAUUAUGAAGUGGCAUCAUUUUAUAAUUAAAGCUCCGGCGGUAAAAGAUGGGCAUGCGGAACAUUAGCUAGUUGGUGAGGUAAUGGCUCACCAAGGCUACGAUGUUUAGGGGGUCUGAGAGGAUGAUCCCCCACACUGGUACUGAGACACGGCCCAGACUCCUACGGGAGGCAGCAGUGGGGAAUAUUGGACAAUGGGCGCAAGCCUGAUCCAGCCACGCCGCGUGAGUGAUGAAGGCCUUGGGUCGUAAAGCUCUGUGGGGAGGGACGAAUGGCGCCGUGAAGAGCGGCGAGUGACGGUACCGUCCUUAGCAAGCACCGGCUAACUUCGUGCCAG
Molecule: ribosomal RNA, 485 nt
Filed under: uncultured bacterium
Lineage: Bacteria
Description: bacterial SSU rRNA
Rfam family: Bacterial small subunit ribosomal RNA
Source: RNAcentral